GGGUUGAGACGCAAGCUCUCAGGAGGGGAAGAGCAGAGAGCAGGUUUGGGUCAGUGCUCUCCAGCCUGCAUUCUUGCCUUGAUGUCCAGCCCUGCUACAGCGAAAGAACUACAGAGUGCGAGGUGAGCCAGUGCCAGAGCCAAGGCCAGACUCAGGCAGGGACUGGAGUGUGGAGCUGCAGGAGCUGCCUGAGCUGUGUUUCUCCCAGGUGCCCCAGGGAGGGAGAGAAGGGCUCCUCUGGGCACUCCUGGAGGUUGUGCUGGGGAGGAAUCCUGGCCCUGUUAUAGCUCAGAGGCCCACACUCAGCACAGUGUCCCUACCAGGUAAUCCGGGAAGGAGGUCAUGCAGUGGUUUGGGCCGGGCAGCUGCAAGGAAAACUGGUUGCCAUCAAGGCCUUCCCACCGAGGUCUGUGGCUCAGUUCCAAGCUGAGAGAGCAUUGUACGAAAUUCCAGGCCUACAGCACGACCACAUUGUCCGAUUUAUCACUGCCAGCCGGGGGGGCCCUGGCCGCCUGCUCUCUGGGCCCCUGCUGGUACUAGAACUGCAUCCCAAGGGCUCCCUGUGCCACUACUUGACCCAGUA
RNAcentral lists this small RNA (583 nucleotides) under Pan troglodytes (chimpanzee). RNAcentral describes it as "retained intron". The record is from RNAcentral. Lineage: Eukaryota; Metazoa; Chordata; Mammalia; Primates; Hominidae.